GCUUGUCUCAAAGAUUAAGCCAUGCACGUCUAAGUAUAAGCGAUUAUACUGUGAAACUGCGAAUGGCUCAUUAUAUCAGUUAUAGUUUAUUUGAUGGUCCUUGCUACUUGGAUAACCGUAGUAAUUCUAGAGCUAAUACAUGCAUAAAUCCCCGACUGCUUGGAAGGGGUGUAUUUAUUAGAUUGAAACCAAUGCGGGUUCCCCGGUAUUUGGUGAUUCAUAAUAACUUUCGGAUCGACUUCGGUCGAUGCAUCAUUCAAGUUUCUGCCCUAUCAGCUUUGGAUGGUAGGGUAUUGGCCUACCAUGGCUUUAACGGGUAACGGAGAAUUAGGGUUCGAUUCCGGAGAGGGAGCCUGAGAAAUGGCUACCACAUCCAAGGAAGGCAGCAGG
RNAcentral lists this ribosomal RNA (390 nucleotides) under uncultured Synurales. RNAcentral describes it as "partial small subunit ribosomal RNA". It matches the Rfam family "Eukaryotic small subunit ribosomal RNA", at positions 30 to 432 of the family's 1831-position model. Lineage: Eukaryota; Synurophyceae; Synurales. The record is from RNAcentral.